Molecule: ribosomal RNA, 762 nt
Filed under: Bacteroides sp. ES-21
Lineage: Bacteria; Pseudomonadati; Bacteroidota; Bacteroidia; Bacteroidales; Bacteroidaceae
Description: bacterial SSU rRNA
Rfam family: Bacterial small subunit ribosomal RNA
Source: RNAcentral
CGGAUGACGCUAGCUACAGGCUUAACACAUGCAAGUCGAGGGGCAGCAUGGUCUUAGCUUGCUAAGGCCGAUGGCGACCGGCGCACGGGUGAGUAACACGUAUCCAACCUGCCGUCUACUCUUGGACAGCCUUCUGAAAGGAAGAUUAAUACAAGAUGGCAUCAUGAGUCCGCAUGUUCACAUGAUUAAAGGUAUUCCGGUAGACGAUGGGGAUGCGUUCCAUUAGAUAGUAGGCGGGGUAACGGCCCACCUAGUCUUCGAUGGAUAGGGGUUCUGAGAGGAAGGUCCCCCACAUUGGAACUGAGACACGGUCCAAACUCCUACGGGAGGCAGCAGUGAGGAAUAUUGGUCAAUGGGCGAGAGCCUGAACCAGCCAAGUAGCGUGAAGGAUGACUGCCCUAUGGGUUGUAAACUUCUUUUAUAAAGGAAUAAAGUCGGGUAUGGAUACCCGUUUGCAUGUACUUUAUGAAUAAGGAUCGGCUAACUCCGUGCCAGCAGCCGCGGUAAUACGGAGGAUCCGAGCGUUAUCCGGAUUUAUUGGGUUUAAAGGGAGCGUAGAUGGAUGUUUAAGUCAGUUGUGAAAGUUUGCGGCUCAACCGUAAAAUUGCAGUUGAUACUGGAUAUCUUGAGUGCAGUUGAGGCAGGCGGAAUUCGUGGUGUAGCGGUGAAAUGCUUAGAUAUCACGAAGAACUCCGAUUGCGAAGGCAGCCUGCUAAGCUGCAACUGACAUUGAGGCUCGAAAGUGUGGGUAUCAACAGGAUA